Molecule: ribosomal RNA, 253 nt
Filed under: uncultured bacterium
Lineage: Bacteria
Description: partial 16S ribosomal RNA
Rfam family: Bacterial small subunit ribosomal RNA
Source: RNAcentral
UACGUAGGGUGCAAGCGUUAAUCGGAAUUACUGGGCGUAAAGCGUGCGCAGGCGGUUGUGUAAGACAGGUGUGAAAUCCCCGGGCUUAACCUGGGAAUUGCAUUUGUGACUGCACGGCUAGAGUGUGUCAGAGGGGGGUAGAAUUCCACGUGUAGCAGUGAAAUGCGUAGAUAUGUGGAGGAACACCGGUGGCGAAGGCGGCCCUCUGGACGGUGACUGACGCUGAGACGCGAAAGCGUGGGGAGCAAACAGG